RNAcentral lists this ribosomal RNA (539 nucleotides) under Cortinarius fillionii. RNAcentral's name for it is "eukaryotic LSU rRNA". The stretch from base 175 to 328 matches the Rfam family "5.8S ribosomal RNA". Lineage: Eukaryota; Fungi; Basidiomycota; Agaricomycetes; Agaricales; Cortinariaceae. The record is from RNAcentral.
AUCAUUAUUGAAAUAAACCUGAUGGGUUGUNGCUGGCUCUCUAGGGAGCAUGUGCACGCCUUGUCAUCUUUAUAUCUCCACCUGUGCACCUUUUGUAGACCCCUCCCCGGGUCUAUGUUGCUUCAUUUGCCCCAAUGUAUGUCGAUAGAAUGUUUGUCCCAAUGAAAUAUAUACAACUUUCAGCAACGGAUCUCUUGGCUCUCGCAUCGAUGAAGAACGCAGCGAAAUGCGAUAAGUAAUGUGAAUUGCAGAAUUCAGUGAAUCAUCGAAUCUUUGAACGCACCUUGCGCUCCUUGGUAUUCCGAGGAGCAUGCCUGUUUGAGUGUCAUUAAUAUAUAUAUCAAGCCCUCUUUUGUUGAGCGGUUUGGAUGUGGGGGGUUUUUGCUGGCCUCUUAAAAGGUUCAGCUCUCCUGAAAUACAUUAGCGGAACAUCCUGUUUGUUCAUUGGCGUGAUAAACUAUCUACGCUAUUGAAUGUGAGGCAGUUCAGCUUCUUAACGGUCCCUUUGGGGACAAUUCAUCAUUUUAUGUGACCUCAAA